This is a long non-coding RNA of Lagenorhynchus albirostris (white-beaked dolphin), 401 nucleotides long. RefSeq lists it as uncharacterized. The transcript has 3 exons. The record is from RefSeq and is a predicted model, not a curated record. NCBI's taxonomy places the organism in Eukaryota, Metazoa, Chordata, Mammalia, Artiodactyla, Delphinidae.
ACAUGGUACAGAAGUUCAAAUUUUAACAAUAGGUAUGCAGAGAGGAGUCUCCCUUCCCAUCUCCCACCCGGAAGCAACUGCUGUCACCUGAUUAUCCAUCCAGAGAAGUUCUGUCCAGCAGUUUCCCAGCUGUGUUCUACCUGAGCCCCAGGCUUCCCACAAGUGCAUCAGAAGCCAACAUAGAGGAGAAGAAUGAAGGAGAAAACCCAUGAGGGCAUCAAUCCAUCCAUCAGCAAACACCCAAGCCAAGGUCCUUUAGGAACAAAGAACUCCUCCAGACCCGAGCUGAGCCCAUCGGGAGAACGUCCACUGAACCAGACCAGCAACACGGGCAGUCAGGCCUCACAGCCACCUUUCCUGAGCCUGAGCCACCAUCCACCAGGUGCUGCAGUGAGUGAUGG